This 468-nucleotide ribosomal RNA is filed under the name uncultured bacterium. RNAcentral's name for it is "partial 16S ribosomal RNA". It matches the Rfam family "Bacterial small subunit ribosomal RNA", at positions 28 to 507 of the family's 1533-position model. The record is from RNAcentral.
GACGAACGCUGGCGGCGUGCUUAACACAUGCAAGUCGAACGGAAAGGCGCUGCUUUUGUUGGUUUCUCGAUUGGCGCACGGGGGAGUAACACGUGAGUAACCUGCCCUUGACUUUGUGAUAACUUCAGGAAACUGCGGCUAAUACCGGAUAGAAGCUCCUGCUGCAUGUUGUGGGAUGGAAAGUUUCGGCGGUUGGGGCUCGUCUCGCGGCUUAUGAGCUUGUUGGUGUGGUAGUGGCGUACGAAGGCUUUGACGGGUAGCCGGCCUGAGAGGGGGACCGGGCACAUUGGGACUGAGAGACGGACCAGACUCCUACGGGAGGCAGCAGUGGGGAAUAUUGCACAAUGGGCGGAAGCGUGAGGUAGAAACGUCGGGUGCGGGAUGACGGCCUUUGGGUUGUAAACCGAUGUGGACGGAGACGAAGCGUGAGUGACGGUAAUGGGUAAAGAAGCACCGGCUAACUACGUG